This 375-nucleotide ribosomal RNA is filed under the name uncultured eukaryote. RNAcentral describes it as "partial 18S ribosomal RNA". It matches the Rfam family "Eukaryotic small subunit ribosomal RNA", at positions 592 to 976 of the family's 1831-position model. The record is from RNAcentral.
CAAUAGCGUAUAUUUAAGUUGUUGCAGUUAAAAAGCUCGUAGUUGGAUUUCGGUUAAGAGCGACCGGUCCGCCGUUUGGUGUGCACUGGUUGGUUUUAACUUCCUGUAGAGGACGUGCUCUGGGUUUAGCGACCUGGACUCGGAGUCUACGUGGUUACUUUGAAAAAAUUAGAGUGUUCAAAGCGGGCUUACGCUUGAAUAUUUCAGCAUGGAAUAACACUAUAGGACUCCUGUCCUAUUUCGUUGGUCUCGGGACGGGAGUAAUGAUUAAGAGGAACAGUUGGGGGCAUUCGUAUUUCAUUGUCAGAGGUGAAAUUCUUGGAUUUAUGAAAGACGAACUUCUGCGAAAGCAUUUGCCAAGGAUGUUUUCAUUAA